This 116-nucleotide ribosomal RNA is filed under the name Pteropus alecto (black flying fox). Lineage: Eukaryota; Metazoa; Chordata; Mammalia; Chiroptera; Pteropodidae. The record is from RNAcentral.
GUCUAUGGCCAUGCCACCCUGAACAAGCCCAAUGUCUGAUCUCGGAAGCUAAGCAGGGUUGAGCCUGGUUAGUACUUGGAUGGGAGACCACCUAGGAAGACCAGGUGCUGUAGGCA